AAAGACCGAAUUAUUCGGUUUUCGUGUCCAACGUUUAACCGUCCGGUAUUUUUAUUAUUGUUAGAUGAUAAAAUAUGAAUAAUACUUUAUGCAUGAUUUGUCUUUUAAAAUUUUUUCAAAUAAGACGAACGGUUAAACGUUAGACACGGAAACUCAGAAAUUGAGUUUUU
MicroRNA precursor from Oryza rufipogon (brownbeard rice), 170 nucleotides. It matches the Rfam family "MIR812 microRNA precursor family". Lineage: Eukaryota; Viridiplantae; Streptophyta; Magnoliopsida; Poales; Poaceae. The record is from Rfam.